AGGGGGCCCACGCCUCCGCCCCACUCUGACCCGCAGGUUUUCAGACUUGCCGGUGUGUGCCAAACCAUGAAUUCAAAAUCUUGAACUACCCGAUCCCACGGGACUAAGGCAGGAGGGGGUCGCAGGGGGCCUGGUGCUGGAAGUCCAGUUUGCAAAUAAACCAAGGAGCUGGAGGAAGCUGUCAGGCCACACUAGCGGUUCCAGCGCUCUUGGCUCUCAGCCCCCACCUGCCGGGAAGGGUCGGUCUGCACUCUGCCUUCCACGACGGCAGGUUAGAAAAUGAUUGUUUGUUUACAAUGAAAAGUAGUAGAGCUAGAGAAUAAUAUGCACAAAAUGUGACAUCCUGCGUGAUGAAACCAGAGCAAAGGAGCCCUAAAUGCAGGAGCGCACAGGUGUCCGCGCAGCCGGGAAUCAGCCAGCGCCUGCCCGCAGAGUCCAGGGAACCGACAGGUGAGCGCUCCCGGGCCCGGGAGCGCCAGGGAGAGGCCGGGCCACCGAGGCCCAAAGCAGCAAGUGUGUCCUCAGGGGAGCUUGUGCAAUAGCCCCAGUCACAGAGGCAAAGCUCAGAAACAACCCCGUCGGGUGUUCUGGCCAGCAACUGCCGCAAGCAGCCUCCUGAGUAAGCCCAAAACCACUGAUUUCCAGUCACUAUGGAUUUGGGGCUCAGGUGGGGAAACAGGGAGGAAAUCCAAAGAUUAAUAAACUAGUUCAUAGUCUCCAUUUUCCUCUCAGAGUGCAACAUGGUAAAGUAUUUUACUCCCCCACGCGCAUGUAUACACACAGCUGCACAACCGAAUGCUGGAAUUAUGAUGUGCCAUUCAACCUUUAAUUACAUAAGCUGUUUUCAAAAAUCACAUUCAGCGUGGAGAUUUUCCAGAGAUGCUGGACUUGGGAAGAACCUCCAUGACCUGUGUCCUGAG
RNAcentral lists this long non-coding RNA (920 nucleotides) under Homo sapiens (human). RNAcentral describes it as "HSALNT0003226". Lineage: Eukaryota; Metazoa; Chordata; Mammalia; Primates; Hominidae. The record is from RNAcentral.